AUACGGAGGAUCCGAGCGUUAUCCGGAUUUAUUGGGUUUAAAGGGAGCGUAGGUGGAUUGUUAAGUCAGUUGUGAAAGUUUGCGGCUCAACCGUAAAAUUGCAGUUGAAACUGGCAGUCUUGAGUACAGUAGAGGUGGGCGGAAUUCGUGGUGUAGCGGUGAAAUGCUUAGAUAUCACGAAGAACUCCGAUUGCGAAGGCAGCUCACUAGACUGCAACUGACACUGAUGCUCGAAAGUGUGGGUAUCAAACAGGAUUAGAUACCCCGGUAGUCCACACAGUAAACGAUGAAUACUCGCUGUUUGCGAUAUACAGUAAGCGGCCAAGCGAAAGCAUUAAGUAUUCCACCUGGGGAGUACGCCGGCAACGGUGAAACUCAAAUGAAUUGACGGGG
This 393-nucleotide ribosomal RNA is filed under the name uncultured bacterium. RNAcentral's name for it is "partial 16S ribosomal RNA". It matches the Rfam family "Bacterial small subunit ribosomal RNA", at positions 523 to 918 of the family's 1533-position model. The record is from RNAcentral.